Non-coding RNA from Sus scrofa (pig), 1922 nucleotides. The record is from RefSeq and is a predicted model, not a curated record. Lineage: Eukaryota; Metazoa; Chordata; Mammalia; Artiodactyla; Suidae.
GAAGACGCGUCCGCCGUGGCUCAGGCACACGCGGGCGCCCCGGGGCUGCGCCGCCGCGCCGCAGAAGGUGAAGGAACAGCGCGAGGCGCGCAGCCGCUGCACCGUGGUGCGCACGAGGGCGGCCGGCCCGCGCCCCCAGCGCGCCCACAGCAAAGGAAACCCACUUUUGGAACCUCAGAUUUCUAGAAGACCUAAGAAAUCCUCCUCACUGCAGAUUGAAAAGGAGACAGAAACCAAGAAGAAAUAACCGGGCUCAUAUGCAAGGGCCAGGGACUGAACCCACACCACAGCUGUGACCCGAACCACAACAGUGACAUCUGAUCCUCUAACUGCUAGGCUACCAGGGAACUCCCCACAGGUGAGUUUUUGCCGUCAGCUCUCCUCCUUGCCUCUGCCUGGAUGGUUCCACUUGCCCUCCCGGUUUUAGUGGCCAACUGGCCACAAUGCACAGGUCCUCUGGCCUCUCCCAGGCUCCCAAGCCACAAUCACUGCUUCUACAUUUCUGUUUGGAUGGGCUUUUGGUAUCUCAGGAGCAACAUGAAUAAAACCAAAUGCAAUGUUCUCUCACAAAUUACCUCUUCAUCCUUAUUCCUCUCUAUUAAUGACAUCACAUUCUCCUCUUCACCUGGACCUAGAAAUUAGUCGCCUUGGAGUUCCUACUGCUCUCUGUCCUGCAUCCUGUCUAGUUCUCUAUCAGUGGAUGGUACACACAGUCAUUCAAGAAUCUCAUCUUCCCAGAGUGCCCUUUGUGGCGCAGCAGAAAUGCAUCCAACUAGGAAGCAUGAGGUUGCAGGUUCGAUCCCUGGCCUGUCGCAGUGGGUUAAGGCUCCGGCGUUACCGUGAGCUGUGGUGUAGGUUGCAGACAUGGCUCAGAUCUGGCUUGGCUGUGGCUCUGGCUGGCAGCUACAGCUCCGAUUAGACCCCUAGCCUGGGAACCUCCAUAUGCUGAGAGUGCAGCCCUAGAAAGCAAAAAAAAAAAAAGAAUCUCAUCUUCCCAUCACUGUGCCUCCAGUCCAGGCCCCCAUUCUGCUCCAUUGGCACUGCCUCCCCACUUAAUCCAGCACUCCUGCAUUUGACUCCCUGAUGCCGUCCCUCCCCUUCCCAAACCUCGUGCCUGCCCCUGGCCCCCAGCAAGUAAGUUCAGGAGGUUCUGCCUGGUAUUCAAAACCUUCCAUUGUACCCACCUCCCCUUACUGCCGUCCAUCCAUCCAUCACUCCACAUCCAUGGCACACCAAGCACUGCUUACCACUCCUCCACUUAACCCUCUGAGUAAUUCUGCAAGGUAGCUGCUGUUCCCAUCUUGAAGAGGAGGAAAUUGAUGGGGUUUUUGGAGGGUGAGGGGGUGGCAUUCCCAAGUUCCUAAGCCAGGGGUCAGACCUGCGCCACAGCAACCCAAGCCACUGCAGUGGCAAUGCCAGAUCCUAAACCCACUGAGUUUUAGAGCAAUUAAGUGACUUGCUCACAGUCCCACAACUACUAGGGUGGAAACUGGGGACCAGAUUUAUGUGUUUCUGGCACCAAAGUCCUUCAGUUGAUAAACUGGGCACCUGGAAGUGAAGAAAGCUGUAUGCACCACAAACAGUAAAUAGAAAUGAGACUCAAGCAAGAUCCAAACACCAGUGACAAAAGUACCAGGCUGGGCCAUUGCUGGCCCUGAGGACAGCCAUUCGUAUCCAGAUCAGAUAGGCUGGGACUGUCCAGAGUUUAACACACCCAAAAAGCUGCGGAUGGGAUUUCUCCACAGCAGACAGCUGGCUCUGUAAACACACAAAACAUCCUCCAGUACAAGAAAGAGGCUUCUCGAGUUCCCACUGUGGCUCAGUGGUGGCAACAAACCCGACUGAUAUCCAUGAGGAGGAUGCGGGUUCGAUCGUGGCCUUGCUCAGUGGGUUAAAGAUCCGGUGUUGCCAUGAGCUGUGGU